AUUGAACGCUGGCGGCAUGCUUUACACAUGCAAGUCGAACGGCAGCGCGGGCUUCGGCCUGGCGGCGAGUGGCGAACGGGUGAGUAAUACAUCGGAACGUGCCCAGUAGUGGGGGAUAGCUCGGCGAAAGCCGGAUUAAUACCGCAUACGACCUGAGGGUGAAAGCGGGGGAUCUUCGGACCUCGCGCUAUUGGAGCGGCCGAUGGCAGAUUAGCUAGUUGGUGGGGUAAAGGCCUACCAAGGCGACGAUCGGUAGCUGGUCUGAGAGGACGACCAGCCACACUGGGACUGAGACACGGCCCAGACUCCUACGGGAGGCAGCAGUGGGGAAUUUUGGACAAAGGGCGAAAGCCUGAUCCAGCAAUGCCGCGUGUGUGAUGAAGGCCUUCGGGUUGUAAAGCACUUUUGGCGGGAACGAAAAGGACUGUGCCAAUACCACGGUUCGAUGACGGUACCCGCAGAAUAAGCACCGGCUAACUACGUG
Molecule: ribosomal RNA, 484 nt
Filed under: uncultured bacterium
Lineage: Bacteria
Description: partial 16S ribosomal RNA
Rfam family: Bacterial small subunit ribosomal RNA
Source: RNAcentral